UUUCCGUAGGUGAACCUGCGGAAGGAUCAUUAUCGUACAAAAUGUGAGGGGCAUGCGAUGGCUGUCGCUCACCCAAAAGUCGUGCACGCCCGAGUGUGUCCUCUUGCAUAAUAAUCCAUCUCACCCUUUGUGAAUCACCGCGUGGGCACCCGUCGGGAUCAUCUCGGAGGGGGGCUCGCGUUUUCACACAAACCCCCCUUUUAAACGUGUAGAAUGACCACAUUUAUGCAAUCAAUACAACUUUCAACAACGGAUCUCUUGGCUCUC
Molecule: unclassified non-coding RNA, 267 nt
Filed under: plant metagenome
Description: partial contains small subunit ribosomal RNA, internal transcribed spacer 1, and 5.8S ribosomal RNA
Source: RNAcentral